CUCGUGUCGUGAGAUGUUGGGUUAAGUCCCGCAACGAGCGCAACCCUUGUCCUUAGUUGCCAGCCUUAAGUUGGGCACUCUAGGGAAACUGCCCGUGAUAAGCGGGAGGAAGGUGUGGAUGACGUCAAGUCCUCAUGGCCCUUACGGGUUGGGCUACACACGUGCUACAAUGGCAGUGACAAUGGGUUAAUCCCAAAAAACUGUCUCAGUUCGGAUUGGGGUCUGCAACUCGACCCCAUGAAGUCGGAAUCGCUAGUAAUCGCGUAACAGCAUGACGCGGUGAAUACGUUCCCGGGCCUU
Molecule: ribosomal RNA, 300 nt
Filed under: uncultured bacterium
Lineage: Bacteria
Description: bacterial SSU rRNA
Rfam family: Bacterial small subunit ribosomal RNA
Source: RNAcentral